This 647-nucleotide ribosomal RNA is filed under the name Pseudosperma umbrinellum. Its description in RNAcentral is "partial small subunit ribosomal RNA". It matches the Rfam family "Bacterial small subunit ribosomal RNA", at positions 348 to 942 of the family's 1533-position model. The record is from RNAcentral. Lineage: Eukaryota; Fungi; Basidiomycota; Agaricomycetes; Agaricales; Inocybaceae.
UCAGCAGUCCAGAAUAUUAGUCAAUGCUCGCAAGAGUGAACUAGCUAACUGAAAUCACAAAAACACAAAAAGUGCUUAUUGUGAUAAUGUAAGGGAAAAAAUUGAUAUCACCUUACUAUAAGUGUUGUCUAAAUAACUGGUGCCAGAAGACUCGGUAACACCAGAAACGCGAACGUUAGUCGUCUUAAACAGGCGUAAAGGGUAAGUAGGCUGCUUUAAACAUCUAUUUUUAAAAAAAAGCUAAUUAAUAAAUUACCCUAAAAUUUUUCAGACCUGAAAUUAUAAUUUAAGGCUAACUAAUAAUGAAAAAGGUAAUUAUUAAAAAAAGAUAGAUACUCUUAAAGCUAGAAUCAUAAUUGAGAUAAACCAAAUAAUACUUAUGUGUAAGGGCGAUAUCUGAAAAUACUAAGUAGAAUACUAACGGUGAAAACUUUUUAUCUAGGAAUGAUUGACGCUGAGGUACGAAAGUGAGAACAGGGAAUAGGAUUAGAUACCCAGUUACCUCUCACCGUCAACGAUGAAUGGUAGUUGUUAGUUUAAUUAAAUUAGUGACGAUGUUAACGCGAUAACCAUUCCGCCUUGAGAGUACGGUUGCAAAACUGAAACCAAAAAAAUUAGUCGGUCUCGGAGCAAACGGAGUGAAGCAU